GCAGAAACAAAUUAAAAAUUAAAUUAAAUUCAUCCCGUAAUUGGGGUAGACAACUCUAUAUCUAUGUUGCGCAACAAAAUAAUAUUUACAAAUUAGAUCACUUUCGAUCCGUGAGGGGUGAUUCAAAAUCAAAUUGAGCCCCUGCAGCAAACUGUCUCUGCAGAUGACAGAUGCAAAAACGUCACGACUGACACGUCGCCGAACUGUCAAAGCAUAACGCAAUGUUUACUUUUCAUUCAUCAGUUCGGUCGACUGUACAGUUUUCGUGGACAGUUUUUCGGUUUUUUGGCCAGAUUUCGUCAUGUAAUGUUGGUAUGUUUUGGUAAAUACUUACAAAAUCGGUGAAUGAACAUAACGAAGAAAAUCUUCGUUCAAAAUUUCCUUUGUUUUUAGCCCAUUAAAGGACAAACUUUCGUGGCGUUUUGCUGCCAGUGCGUCAUCUUCGCGAGGAAGAUGAGCCUGCAGAAACCCACUAAAUUCCCGGGAUGAACCGUGGAAGCCAUCUUGGCUAGGCAAGAUGCACUUCAGGUUUGGCACUACUGGCCUUCAUUUGUGGCACUACCACUCCACAUCCGGCGCUCGGACACAAGGGCACAACGGAUUGCCCCUUGGUCGUCUCAUCGGAUGCCAGUGCAGCUAUGAACCGCCAGCAUAAACAUAACAGGUUCGCCAUUCCAUCACUUCGUUCUCGCCGUAAUCAUCCGGGUCUUCGGGUUGAUCCGAUCGUGAGCUCCGAAGGUAUAUUAACCCUUCACCAACUCCCGUGGACAGCCAACCCUCGGUCGGAUUUCUGACGUAAAUCCGAAGUGUGGAAUGUAACUACAAAUAAAAGGGACUAAUAAAACUUAUUAAAAUCUUCGCACAACCUCUCCUCGAUUGGCAAAUCCGGAUCUUUCUUCCCCAUCUCCGAAAUCAAUCCGACAAUCUCUUCCAAAUCAGGGUCUAUUUCCGUUUCCAAAUCAUUUCCAUUUCCGUUUAGCAAAGUUAUCACAGAUGAUUGUAUUUUCCUAAUUUCAUGUUCAAAUUCUUUAAAUUUAUGUUUGGCCUUAUGCUUGACCUGCGACGAUUUCGUCGGCUUUGGCAGGUUCCUUGCCGAACUGCCCAUGGCUGAGUCCGACGACCUACUCGAUUCUAGUCCUUGGUUUUUCUUAAAUUUCACAGACCGCGGCCGACUCUUCGGGGAACUUCCGUUGCCCGAAUCCGGCGAAGAUCGCGACUGCUUCUUCUUCAAUUUCUUGCCUACGAACUAGGUCACGCCGGAAGAGUUGCAUGAUGCGCUUCACCUUAACAACGUCCUGCGGUAGCAAAGUUCUCUCAGCUCUAAGUUCUUCGAGGAACUCAAGAUUGAAUUCUACAUCUUUUACUAAUUCUUCCAGGGGGUAAUUAGGAUGAUUAGAGCCGACGGGACUGGGCAUCUCGGCUAGACCUUCAACGUCCGAGAAGUCUGCGUCGUACUCCUCACCCUGCCAUUCCACUCUCCUCCAUUCCACUUUCUUUAGUUUUAUUCUUUUCCUUCGUGUCAUUGUGUAUGGAGCGAGAUGUGUCGACUGCAGUGCAAGUCGUAAAAUUUUAAUUUUGUCUAGGUGGUGGGUUCAUGUGUGUUGUUGUUUGGUGUUAUUGAUUACAGGGAUGCAUGUGUGGGUUCAUAAUCUAUGUAAUAUGUUCCAUGUGAGUUCAAUCGGUUUCCGAACAACACAAAUUGCCCAAAACCACGAAUUUUUCAAAGCCGAAAACGGCUAAACAAAGCGUUGAGUAAGCGCAAAAACGCUCAAUUGAUUUAAGACCGUUUAAGGCACUAACACAGAUUUUUGGUCGGGGCGGGGAAAGUGUGCAGGUGAUGAAAGCCGUGCUAGCACGGAUCCCUGCCACCUCCCGAAGGAAAAAUCCUUAGAUUUUUACACCACCCGGUCAAACUUGAUCGCUUUUCGUGCUUUCCGCUAGGAAGCCAAUUGAAACUCAUGACUUUUCAGUAUCAAGGUGGACUAGCUCAUUCCUUUUUCAGGGCAGAGAUCAUCUACUUACAGGUAGUCGUAGACCUAAGCUACUAACUACUCAUCACUCAGGGUCGGCAUUUCUACUCAGCGAUUCAAGUGAGACACGGAUGAAAUAAGGAAUCAAGAACCACAAUUUUCUAAUCAAAACGUGUAUUUUCUGGAUAAGUGUAGGGUGUAGGUGUGUGUGGGGAAUGUAAGGCACUUCAGGGGCAACGUACCGUUCAGCAGCUGGACUCGCAGCGAGGCUUCGCUGACUCCACUCCAAUCCUCGAACGCCUUCGGCGUUCACCUGCUCCAAGGCCGGUCACAGGAGCGCCCUCGACUGUGCCGCCGCGAUCCCGUAA
Long non-coding RNA from Culex pipiens pallens (northern house mosquito), 2338 nucleotides. RefSeq lists it as uncharacterized. The record is from RefSeq and is a predicted model, not a curated record. NCBI's taxonomy places the organism in Eukaryota, Metazoa, Arthropoda, Insecta, Diptera, Culicidae. The transcript is spliced from 3 exons.